CCUACGGGCGGCUGCAGUCGAGAAUCAUUCACAAUGGGGGAAACCCUGAUGGUGCGACGCCGCGUGGGGGAAUGAAGGUCUUCGGAUUGUAAACCCCUGUCAUGUGGGAGCAAAUUAAAAAGAUAGUACCACAAGAGGAAGAGACGGCUAACUCUGUUCCAGCAGCCGCGGUAAUACAGAGGUCUCAAGCGUUGUUCGGAAUCACUGGGCGUAAGGCGUGCGUAGGCUGUUUCGUAAGUCGUGUGUGAAAGGCGCGGGCUCAACCCGCGGACGGCACAUGAUACUGCGAGACUAGAGUAAUGGAGGGGGAACCGGAAUGCUCGGUGUAGCAGUGAAAUGCGUAGAUAUCGAGAGGAACACUCGUGGCGAAGGCGGGUUCCUGGACAUUAACUGACGCUGAGGCACGAAGGCCAGGGGAGCGAAAGGGAUUAGAUACCCUUGUAGUC
RNAcentral lists this ribosomal RNA (446 nucleotides) under uncultured bacterium. RNAcentral's name for it is "partial 16S ribosomal RNA". It matches the Rfam family "Bacterial small subunit ribosomal RNA", at positions 338 to 795 of the family's 1533-position model. The record is from RNAcentral.